This 433-nucleotide ribosomal RNA is filed under the name uncultured bacterium. Its description in RNAcentral is "partial 16S ribosomal RNA". It matches the Rfam family "Bacterial small subunit ribosomal RNA", at positions 29 to 507 of the family's 1533-position model. The record is from RNAcentral.
AACGAACGCUGGCGGCAUGCCUAACACAUGCAGGUCGAACGAGACCUUCGGGUCUAGUGGCGCACGGGUGCGUAACGCGUGGGAACCUGCCCUUAGGUUCGGAAUAACUCCCCGAAAGGGGUGCUAAUACCGGAUAAUGUCUUCGGACCAAAGAUUUAUCGCCUUUGGAUGGGCCCGCGUUGGAUUAGCUAGUUGGUAGGGUAAAAGCCUACCAAGGCGACGAUCCAUAGCUGGUCUGAGAGGAUGAUCAGCCACACUGGGACUGAGACACGGCCCAGACUCCUACGGGAGGCAGCAGUGGGGAAUAUUGGACAAUGGGCGAAAGCCUGAUCCAGCAAUGCCGCGUGAGUGAUGAAGGCCUUAGGGCUGUAAGGCUCUUUUACCCGGGAUGAUAAUGACAGUACCGGGAGAAUAAGCUCCGGCUAACUCCGUG